UACGUAGGGUGCGAGCGUUAAUCGGAAUUACUGGGCGUAAAGCGCACGUAGGCGGCUUUGUAAGUUAGAGGUGAAAGCCCGGAGCUCAACUCCGGAAUAGCCUUUAAGACUGCAUCGCUAGAACGUUGGAGAGGUAAGUGGAAUUCCGAGUGUAGAGGUGAAAUUCGUAGAUAUUCGGAAGAACACCAGUGGCGAAGGCGACUUACUGGACAACUGUUGACGCUGAGGUGCGAAAGCGUGGGGAGCAAACAGG
This 253-nucleotide ribosomal RNA is filed under the name uncultured bacterium. Its description in RNAcentral is "partial 16S ribosomal RNA". It matches the Rfam family "Bacterial small subunit ribosomal RNA", at positions 524 to 776 of the family's 1533-position model. The record is from RNAcentral.